AAUCAACGCUGGCGGCGUGCCUAACACAUGCAAGUCGAACGCGAAAGUCCCGCAAGGGAUUAGUAGAGUGGCAAACGGGUGAGUAACACGUGGGUGACCUGCCUUCGAGUGGGGGAUAACGUCCCGAAGGGACGCUAAUACCGCAUAACAUCCUGCCUUUUAAGAGGUGGAGAUCAAAGCUGGGGACCGUAAGGCCUGGCGCUGGAAGAGGGGCCCGCGUCUGAUUAGCUAGUUGGUGAGGAACGGCUCACCAAGGCAACGAUCAGUAUCCGGCCUGAGGAGGGCGGGACGGACACACUGGGACUGAGACACGGCCCAGACUCCUACGGGAGGCAGCAGGUGGGGAAUUGUUCGCAAUGGGCGCAAGCCUGACGACGCAACGCCGCGUGGAGGAUGAAGA
RNAcentral lists this ribosomal RNA (400 nucleotides) under uncultured bacterium. Its description in RNAcentral is "bacterial SSU rRNA". It matches the Rfam family "Bacterial small subunit ribosomal RNA", at positions 29 to 414 of the family's 1533-position model. The record is from RNAcentral.